This 434-nucleotide ribosomal RNA is filed under the name uncultured bacterium. RNAcentral's name for it is "partial 16S ribosomal RNA". It matches the Rfam family "Bacterial small subunit ribosomal RNA", at positions 29 to 507 of the family's 1533-position model. The record is from RNAcentral.
AGCGAACGCUGGCGGCAGGCCUAACACAUGCAAGUCGAACGAACCUUUCGGGGUUAGUGGCGGACGGGGGAGUAACACGUGGGAACGUGCCUUUAGGUUCGGAAUAACUCAGGGAAACUUGUGCUAAUACCGAAUGUGCCCUUCGGGGGGAAGAUUUAUCGCCUUUAGAGCGGCCCGCGUCUGAUUAGCUAGUUGGUUGAGGUAAUGGCUCACCAAGGCGACGAUCAGUAGCUGGUCUGAGAGGAUGAUCAGCCACAUUGGGACUGAGACACGGCCCAAACUCCUACGGGAGGGAGCAGUGGGGAAUCUUGCGCAAUGGGCUAAAGCCUGACGCAGCCAUGCCGCGUGAAUGAUGAAGGUCUUAGGAUUGUAAAAUUCUUUCACCGGGGACGAUAAUGACGGUACCCGGAGAAGAAGCCCCGGCUAACUUCGUG